GGCAACCGAGGGGCGUGAUGAAGUGUUUCACCGUGCGAGCCAACGCCAGCGGUUUAUCGCUCAGAAUGGAGAUUAAAAAUUAGGGUAGGUGGGUGUGUGUGUGUGUGUGUGUGUGUCGGGGUGUGUGUGUGUGUGUUGGGCGAGGGGCGAGGGGUGGGGGUACGGGGCGAGAAUAGCGCGCGCGUCAAGCUGUGCCGGUCAGUGUCUUACACACACAUUUCUAUAGCGUCUUUCACGCGCGCGCGCACGUGCACGCACACACAAGGGUCCACAGUGCCACGGGAGCCCACUCUACAGUGAGAGGGCUGAGUGUGUGUGUGUGUGUGUGUCUGUAAGUUAGUUUGGACCGGUUGGGGUUGGGGUGGGGGUCUUUGUUGGUGACCAUCUAUUGUGUCAUAUUUUCUAACCCUUGUCGGAGCCUUUGUCCGUGCAGCUGUGGGUUCCGACGAGAGACUACAAGUUUGUGUGUUCCUCUUGUUAUUUUCCUUGCAGCUCAGAGCAAUGACUUAAAUGCACUUUGCCAAACGUUCUACCAAGCAUCCCCUCACACCGGGCGAUAAAAAAACUUUAUUGGCAAGAUAGUUUUCACAACAGUAUACUAGUCUAAAAGUAAAGACACAAAUGUGUGUGCGCCACAUGCAGUGUGCCAAAUUGAACACGAGUGCACAGUUCACAGAGUGGUGCGAUAACUGAGAACGUGAAUACUGGUGCAAGGCAAUAUGUUCCUUUGUCUAUAUUGGUUUCGUUUCUUUAUCACUGCGGUUUUUGGAUGUCUAAAAUCUUCUUAUUUUAUUAUUGUAUCGUCAUGUGUAAUCCAUGUCUGGUUUAGUAUUGAGACCACUUUAUUCUGUUGACACUGUUGACAGUCGCUCAUCAUUCUUACCUCUGUGUCUCCGUUUUUGUAUUUCAGAUUUUGCAAACCCUGGUUUGAGGCUGACUACAAACACGACAUCACCUCCCGCCGUCAUCCACCAACGCCACCCCCUCCACCGCCACCCAACAAUCGCACCCAUUCCCUGGAGAGGAACCCCAUGCAGAAUGCACGCACAAGAAAUGAAUCGAAGGUCCAGACAUGAAAGAGUCGAGAGACACAGGCACACACACACGCAAACACGGGGUGCUGCGUCUGUCUGCGGUCUUCAACCAGCCUGCCAAAAGAUACACACACACACGCACACACAUUAAGGUAAGAAGACCACUGAGCCACACUAUAGUGGUAUAAUAUAAUAACAGUGUUCAUGUAGUCUCUCUCUCUCUCUCUCUCUCUCUCUCUCUCUCUCUCUCUCUCUCUCUCUCUCUCUCUCUCUCUCUCUCUCUCUCUCUUCAGUGUUUAUGUCUGUUUCUCAUUUACGGGCCCAUUGGCGACAGGGGGGGGGGGGGGGGGGGGGGGGGGUUACGAUAUUCAGAUAACUAGGGAGGGCAGGGGAGGGUGACUGAUGUAUUAUAUGCAUUAGUCUGGCCCAUAAUUUGCCGUAUCUCUCAGAGGCACUGUGCACACAGACGUCAUGGCCCAGGUUAAGUAUGGGGUGAGCAGGAUAAUGAUAAUAACUGUCUCGGAGUCGGCUUGUUAUUCUCAAUUGUUUAUAUUUGUCGGUGUUUCACCGAAACCGAAAUUCAGACAGGGCGCAGUUUAUACUUGUUUACUCAAUCAUUGUAAAAAGGUCAGUGAUAAUUCGUGUUUGUUUUGGGGUUGUUCCACCUGGGUCUACUAAUGACCUCGGCAUCCUCGUUGUGAAAAAUGUCCGCCGUUAUGCCCUGGCGUUGGGCUGUGUCCUCAGCGCUGGAGAUAAUUACAACAACAGCCGAUAACCGCUGUGAUACCAUGUUAUCGCCGGGGCAUUAAGGGAAGCUCUUAGUGGGAUUUAAAACCUGUUUGCCCUCCGACUCGAGGCUAGAACGCCCUCUGCCCUUACUCAGUGUCUGAUUUAUGUUUAAAAGAAAGUAUGUCUAACUACUAUAUUUCUGGUCAGAUGUGAAAAGUGCCCUUCUGCAAGCUAUUGACACCCAAUUGGCUUCCUUCUCAGGGUGGUCUUCAUUGGCUUGCCGCCGAAGGUUUGGCGCAUGCUUUUUACAUAAGCAUGCGCCAAACUUCAAGGCUGCCUUGAAAUGGAAACAUUUAAAAUGAUUUUCCCCAGCAAGGUAGCCUUGUUGCAGACACCCAAUACUAAGGCUUUUUGUGGAAGCAAACUAUCUCUCGAAAAUACAGUUUGUGUGUGUGUGUGUGUGUGUGUGUGUGUGUGUGUGUGUGUGUGUGUGUGUGUGUGUGUGUGUGUGUGUGUGUGUGUGUGUGUGUGUGUGUGUGUGUGUGUGUGGGGAGGGGAGCAGAGGACGAUGUUACACACUAACUGGCUUUCGAAAGCGCUUCUCAGACACAGAUGAGGGGGGGGGGGGGGGGGGGCAAUGGCUGCUAAUGGCCCUUUCUAUUGAUGUUACCGUUUAGCAUUGGCGCUAGGAACCAAACGGGGGGAGUCAUUACGUGGAGGGGAGGGAGGGGUGAGGGUUAUUAUUUUAGCCCCCUACAGUCGUUUACAGGCUGCGUUCUCCAGUAUCCACCAGACUGGGCGUGAGGCAGAAAUACUCUCAGUCAAAUCCGAGGCAUCUUUCUACAGUCUAUUGGCCUUCCUCCACCUCUCGCUCACCUUUUCUUGAUUGGCUGCCGGCUCGCAAUCUCCCGCCUUUAUUCCUGUGGCUGCUUGGCAACACCCAGCCGUGCAGCUGUCUCACUGUCACUCAACUGCCAGUAUCCAAACUCUCCAUCUCAAUCGCUGCAGGGUUUUGUACAUUUUUUCCAAUUUCCUGCUCCAUUGUAGCUGAUUCAAGCAUUUGAUCCCAAUGAAAGAAAUACAAGACUUCUUCUUUUUCUUUUUUUUUGUGGAGGAACUCAAUUAUGGUCCAACUGUAAACACUAGUUUAUAAUUUCUCGUUUAAAAUAAUGACACGUCGAGAUUAUCCAUUUGUCUGAAAACUAUUUAGUAGAGAGUACUACUAUACAUGCACAAAGUAUUUAUUUGUUAGAAAGAAAUACUGUUUGUGGAUAACAGGCUGCCCUAUGAGUUUUGUUUUUCAAAGCAGUAUAGAUUCUGGUGUGUGUGUGUGUGUGUGUGUGUGUGUGUGUGUGUGUGUGUGUGUGUGUGUGUGUGUGUGUGUGUGUGUGUGUGUGUGUGUGUGUGUGUGUGUGUGUGUGUGUGUGUGUGUGUGUGUGAUUGUGUGUGCCUUUGGGUGGAUCCUGUCAGACCCAAUCAGUGCCUGUGUAUACCCGUUCUGUCGGCCUGCCAACGGGUCUGGCUGGGGACCCCUGUAGCUGUAGCUUGACCCCCAAACUCCGGCAGUGUGUGUGUGUGUGCAUGUGUGUGUUCUUGUUGUCGGAACAUGUCAGUCCUUAUCUAUCAGUAACACAACAACAUGCAGAUUGAAUAACAAUCAUAAUGGGAGCACACAGUGUAUCGUUUGGUGAACGCACACACACUUCUAAGCGACACGGUGUCGCUACAAGGGAACAUAUUCACCGUGUGUCUGGCGCUAAUUAAAUCCCACUGCAGACUGCAGCGGUGUCAGGUGCUGACAUUGAGUUGUGCCAACAAUACCAGCGGUUACACCCAAGUUAUAAUUAUGAUGUCUUACACAUCCAGCUCGUUUGGUAAUAUAACCUCUUAAAACUAGAUGCAAAGGAUGUGUCAUAUCAAAUUAAAUGUCAAGUGACAUUUAUUGUUGAUUUAACUUCCCCUGUGCGUUGUUUUUUUUUCGCAGAAUUGCCUAUUGAGUCAGGCCUAUCAUUCAAAUAGCAUUCGUCUCCAAAUAU
This is a long non-coding RNA of Gadus morhua (Atlantic cod), 3799 nucleotides long. The record is from Ensembl. NCBI's taxonomy places the organism in Eukaryota, Metazoa, Chordata, Actinopteri, Gadiformes, Gadidae.